RNAcentral lists this ribosomal RNA (549 nucleotides) under uncultured fungus. Its description in RNAcentral is "eukaryotic LSU rRNA". The stretch from base 182 to 335 matches the Rfam family "5.8S ribosomal RNA". Lineage: Eukaryota; Fungi. The record is from RNAcentral.
UCCGGUAAGAGUGAACCAGCGGAGGGAUCAUUACCGAGUUUACAACCCCCAAACCCCUGUGAACAUACCACUUGUUGCCUCGGCGGAUCAGCCCGCUCCCGGUAAAACGGGACGGCCCGCCAGAGGACCCCUAAACUCUGUUUCUAUAUGUAACUUCUGAGUAAAACCAUAAAUAAAUCAAAACUUUCAACAACGGAUCUCUUGGUUCUGGCAUCGAUGGAGAACGCAGCAAAAUGCGAUAAGUAAUGUGAAUUGCAGAAUUCAGUGAAUCAUCGAAUCUUUGAACGCACAUUGCGCCCGCCAGUAUUCUGGCGGGCAUGCCUGUUCGAGCGUCAUUUCAACCCUCAAGCACAGCUUGGUGUUGGGACUCGCGUUAAUUCGCGUUCCUCAAAUUGAUUGGCGGUCACGUCGAGCUUCCAUAGCGUAGUAGUAAAACCCUCGUUACUGGUAAUCGUCGCGGCCACGCCGUUAAACCCCAACUUCUGAAUGUUGACCUCGGAUCAGGUAGGAAUACCCGCUGAACUUAAGCAUAUCAAUAAGCGAAGGAAA